RNAcentral lists this ribosomal RNA (497 nucleotides) under uncultured bacterium. Its description in RNAcentral is "partial 16S ribosomal RNA". It matches the Rfam family "Bacterial small subunit ribosomal RNA", at positions 28 to 507 of the family's 1533-position model. The record is from RNAcentral.
GAUGAACGCUGGCGGCGUGCCUAACACAUGCAAGUCGAGCGAACGGACGAGAAGUGUGCUUCUCUGAUGUUAGCGGCGGACGGGUGAGUAACACGUGGAUAACCUACCUAUAAGACUGGGAUAACGUCGGGAAACCGGAGCUAAUACCGGAUGAUAGUUUGAACGGGAGGGUUCAAAAGUGAAAGAGGGUCUUGCUGACACUUAUAGAUGGAUCCGCGCUGCAUUAGCUAGUUGGUAAGGUAACGGCUUACCAAGGCAACGAUGCAUAGCCGACCUGAGAGGAUGAUCAGCCACACUGGAACUGAGACACGGUCCAGACUCCUACGGGAGGCAGCAGUGGGGAAUCUUCCGCAAUGGGCGAAAGCCUGACGCAGCAACGCCGCGUGUGUGAUGAAGGUCUUCGGAUCGUAAAACUCUGUUAUUAGGGAAGAACAUCUGUGUAAGUAACUGUGCCCAUCUUGACGGUACCUACUCAGAAAGCCACGGCUAACUACGUG